CGCAAUGGGCGAAAGCCUGACGGAGCGACACCGCGUGGAGGAUGAAGUUUUUCGGAAUGUAAAAUCCUUUUGACAGGGAGGAAAAAAAUGACGGUACCACUAUAAGAAGCAUUGGCUAAAUACGUGCCAGCAGCCGCGGUAAUACGUAGGAUGCAAGCGUUGUUCGGAAUUAUUGGGCGUAAAGGGUGUGUAGGUGGUCUUGUUAGUCUUCUGUUAAAGCUCCCGGCUUAACCGGGAAAGUGCAGAGGAAACGGCAAGACUAGAGGAUGUGAGAGGUUUAUGGAACUCAUGGUGUAGGGGUGAAAUCCGUUGAUAUCAUGGGGAACACCAAAAGCGAAGGCAAUAAACCGGCGCAUUCCUGACACUGAAACACGAAAGCGU
RNAcentral lists this ribosomal RNA (381 nucleotides) under uncultured organism. RNAcentral describes it as "bacterial SSU rRNA". It matches the Rfam family "Bacterial small subunit ribosomal RNA", at positions 367 to 762 of the family's 1533-position model. The record is from RNAcentral.